CCUACGGGCGGCAGCAGUCGAGAAUCAUUCACAAUGGGGGAAACCCUGAUGGUGCGACGCCGCGUGGGGGAAUGAAGGUCUUCGGAUUGUAAACCCCUGUCAUGUGGGAGCAAAUUAAAAAGAUAGUACCACAAGAGGAAGAGACGGCUAACUCGGUGCCAGCAGCCGCGGUAAUACAGAGGUCUCAAGCGUUGUUCGGAAUCACUGGGCGUAAAGGGUGCGUAGGCUGUUUCGUAAGUCGUGUGUGAAAGGCGCGGGCUCAACCCGCGGACGGCACAUGAUACUGCGAGACUAGAGUAAUGGAGGGGGAACCGGAAUUCUCGGUGUAGCAGUGAAAUGCGUAGAUAUCGAGAGGAACACUCGUGGCGAAGGCGGGUUCCUGGACAUUAACUGACGCUGAGGCACGAAGGCCAGGGGAGCGAAAGGGAUUAGAUACCCCGGUAGUC
This 446-nucleotide ribosomal RNA is filed under the name uncultured bacterium. Its description in RNAcentral is "partial 16S ribosomal RNA". It matches the Rfam family "Bacterial small subunit ribosomal RNA", at positions 338 to 795 of the family's 1533-position model. The record is from RNAcentral.